RNAcentral lists this unclassified non-coding RNA (375 nucleotides) under uncultured bacterium. RNAcentral's name for it is "contains 16S-23S intergenic spacer region". The record is from RNAcentral.
UCCGGUUUGUCACCGGCAGUCACCUUAGAGUGCCCAACUAAAUGCUGGCAACUAAGAUCAAGGGUUGCGCUCGUUGCGGGACUUAACCCAACAUCUCACGACACGAGCUGACGACAACCAUGCACCACCUGUGUAGGACCCCGAAGGACACCGUAUCUCUACGGCUUUUCCCUACAUGUCAAGCCUUGGUAAGGUUCUUCGCGUUGCAUCGAAUUAAGCCACAUGCUCCGCCGCUUGUGCGGGUCCCCGUCAAUUCCUUUGAGUUUUAGCCUUGCGGCCGUACUCCCCAGGCGGGGUGCUUAAUGCGUUAGCUACGGCACGGACGGAGUGGAUAACCGCCCACACCUAGCACCCAUCGUUUACGGCGUGGACUAC